Molecule: ribosomal RNA, 464 nt
Filed under: uncultured bacterium
Lineage: Bacteria
Description: partial 16S ribosomal RNA
Rfam family: Bacterial small subunit ribosomal RNA
Source: RNAcentral
CUACGGGAUGCUCCAGUGGGGAAUAUUGCACAAUGGGCGCAAGCCUGAUGCAGCCAUGCCGCGUGUAUGAAGAAGGCCUUCGGGUUGUAAAGUACUUUCAGCGGGGAGGAAGGGAGUAAAGUUAAUACCUUUGCUCAUUGACGUUACCCGCAGAAGAAGCACCGGCUAACUCCGUGCCAGCAGCCGCGGUAAUACGGAGGGUGCAAGCGUUCAUCGGAAUUACUGGGCGUAAAGCGCACGCAGGCGGUUUGUUAAGUCAGAUGUGAAAUCCCCGGGCUCAACCUGGGAACUGCAUCUGAUACUGGCAAGCUUGGGUCUCGUAGAGGGGGGUAGAAGUCCAGGUGUAGCGGUGAAAUGCGUAGAGAUCUGGAGGAAUACCGGUGGCGAAGGCGGCCCCCUGGACGAAGACUGACGCUCAGGUGCGAAAGCGUGGGGAGCAAACAGGAUUAGAUACCCGCGUAGUC